AUUGAACGCUGGCGGCAUGCUUUACACAUGCAAGUCGAACGGUAACAGGCCUUCGGGUGCUGACGAGUGGCGAACGGGUGUGUAAUGCAUCGGAACGUACCCAGAGGUGGGGGAUAACGCAGCGAAAGCUGUGCUAAUACCGCAUGUGAUCUGAGGAUGAAAGCGGGGGACCGAGCAGCAAUGUUUGGCCUCGCGCCUUUGGAGCGGCCGAUGUCGGAUUAGCUAGUUGGUGGGGUAAAGGCCUACCAAGGCGACGAUCCGUAGCUGGUCUGAGAGGACGACCAGGCACACUGGGACUGAGACACGGCCCAGACUCCUACGGGAGGCAGGAGUGGGGAAUUUUGGACAAUGGGCGCAAGCCUGAUCCAGCAAUGCCGCGUGCGGGAAGAAGGCCUUCGGGUUGUAAACCGCUUGUGGCAGGAACGAAACGGUGUCCGCUAAUACCGGGCGCUAAUGACGGUACCUGCAGAAUAAGCACCGGCUAACUACGUG
Molecule: ribosomal RNA, 492 nt
Filed under: uncultured bacterium
Lineage: Bacteria
Description: partial 16S ribosomal RNA
Rfam family: Bacterial small subunit ribosomal RNA
Source: RNAcentral